UUGACAUUGGAACAUAUUAAUGGCGGUCCUCCUUGUCAUGGAAUGGAGAGCUUUAGGGAAUCAAUGCUGUCUCUAACAGAGCAUGAUGACAAACAGGUCCAUCAAAUUGCUCGAGACUUCCGUGACAGGUGGAUUCCAAGACCUGUCAGAAAACAUGGCUAUAUGGG
Molecule: long non-coding RNA, 167 nt
Organism: Gastrolobium bilobum
Lineage: Eukaryota; Viridiplantae; Streptophyta; Magnoliopsida; Fabales; Fabaceae
Exons: 3
Source: RefSeq, a predicted model, not a curated record